This 433-nucleotide ribosomal RNA is filed under the name uncultured bacterium. RNAcentral's name for it is "partial 16S ribosomal RNA". It matches the Rfam family "Bacterial small subunit ribosomal RNA", at positions 29 to 507 of the family's 1533-position model. The record is from RNAcentral.
AACGAACGCUGGCGGCAUGCCUAACACAUGCAAGUCGAACGAGACCUUCGGGUCUAGUGGCGCACGGGUGCGUAACGCGUGGGAACCUGCCCUUAGGUUCGGAAUAACUCCCCGAAAGGGGUGCUAAUACCGGAUAAUGUCUUCGGACCAAAGAUUUAUCGCCUUUGGAUGGGGCCGCGUUGGGUUCGCCAGUUGGUAGGGUAAAAGCCUACCAAGGCGACGAUCCAUAGCUGGUCUGAGAGGAUGAUCAGCCACACUGGGACUGAGACACGGCCCAGACUCCUACGGGAGGCAGCAGUGGGGAAUAUUGGACAAUGGGCGAAAGCCUGAUCCAGCAAUGCCGCGUGAGUGAUGAAGGCCUUAGGGUUGUAAAGCUCUUUUACCCGGGAGGAUAAUGACAGUACCGGGAGAAUAAGCUCCGGCUAACUCCGUG